This 119-nucleotide ribosomal RNA is filed under the name Betta splendens (Siamese fighting fish). Lineage: Eukaryota; Metazoa; Chordata; Actinopteri; Anabantiformes; Osphronemidae. The record is from RNAcentral.
GCUUACGGCCAUACCACCCUGAGUAUGCCCGAUCUCGUCUGAUCUCAGAUGCUAAGCAGGGGCGGGCCUGUUUAGUACUUGGAUGGGACACUGCCUAGGAAUACCAGGUGCUGUAAGCU